Molecule: ribosomal RNA, 375 nt
Filed under: uncultured bacterium
Lineage: Bacteria
Description: bacterial SSU rRNA
Rfam family: Bacterial small subunit ribosomal RNA
Source: RNAcentral
GACGAACGCUGGCGGCGUGCUUAACACAUGCAAGUCGAGCGGUAAGGCCCUUUCGGGGGUACACGAGCGGCGAACGGGUGAGUAACACGUGGGUGACCUGCCCUCAGCUCUGGGAUAAGCCUGGGAAACCGGGUCUAAUACUGGAUAUGACUCCAUGACGCAUGUUGUGGGGUGGAAAGCCUUGUGCGGCUGAGGAUGGGCCCGCGGCCUAUCAGCUUGUUGGUGGGGUGAGGCCUACCAAGGCGACGACGGGUAGCCGGCCUGAGAGGGCGACCGGCCACACUGGGACUGAGACACGGCCCAGACUCCUACGGGAGGCAGCAGUGGGGAAUUUUUCGCAAUGGGGGAAACCCUNACGAAGCAACGCCGCGUGGA